Molecule: long non-coding RNA, 339 nt
Organism: Zonotrichia leucophrys gambelii
Lineage: Eukaryota; Metazoa; Chordata; Aves; Passeriformes; Passerellidae
Exons: 3
Source: RefSeq, a predicted model, not a curated record
ACAGUAGGCCCCAGGGAGCCCUUGGAAAGUUUGCAGCGUUUUGUGCCGUUUGCCACAACCCAGGGCAUCAAAAUCUGCACCUCAGGAUGCUGACACUGCUGUGAUUUAACACCUUCGAGAUUUCACCUCAAGAGUUUAAAAUAAUUCAGGUUCCAACAUAUCCAAAGCUCAACCCUUAACUGCUCAGAUCUCUGCCUUUGCUGCUAUAGAACACCAUAGAACUUGAGGCAAGUGAGACACACAAGAUCCUAAUGGAAAGCACAGCACAAAGAGAACUUCAGCACUCUAAUUUUCUUAUGAGAAAAGCAAUAUUUAAAUAUUUUCUUGGGUGUUUUGGAC